Molecule: non-coding RNA, 96 nt
Filed under: Yamadazyma tenuis ATCC 10573
Lineage: Eukaryota; Fungi; Ascomycota; Pichiomycetes; Serinales; Debaryomycetaceae
Also listed under: 1 other name
Description: Candida tenuis ATCC 10573 TPP riboswitch aptamer (THI element)
Rfam family: TPP riboswitch aptamer (THI element)
About the family: Vitamin B(1) in its active form thiamin pyrophosphate (TPP) is an essential coenzyme that is synthesised by coupling of pyrimidine and thiazole moieties in bacteria. The previously detected thiamin-regulatory element, thi box was extended, resulting in a new, highly conserved RNA secondary structure, the THI element, which is widely distributed in eubacteria and also occurs in some archaea. Analysis of operon structures identified a large number of new candidate thiamin-regulated genes, mostly transporters, in various prokaryotic organisms.
Source: Rfam by way of RNAcentral
CAAUAAGACAACGGGUGCAUUCAUGUGAGUGCUGAGAUUAUACCGGUUUAACUCGAUCAAGUUCGUACUUGCGUGAGGAUGUUCUUAUUGUGGAAU